GUUGGGAUGCUUACAUGCAGUCGAACGGCAGCGCGGGGCAACCUGGCGGCGAGUGGCGAACGGGUGAGUAAUAUAUCGGAACGUACCCAGAAGUGGGGGAUAACGUAGCGAAAGUUACGCUAAUACCGCAUACGAUCUACGGAUGAAAGUGGGGGACCUUCGGGCCUCAUGCUUUUGGAGCGGCCGAUAUCUGAUUAGCUAGUUGGUAGGGUAAAGGCCUACCAAGGCGACGAUCAGUAGCUGGUCUGAGAGGACGACCAGCCACACUGGAACUGAGACACGGUCCAGACUCCUACGGGAGGCAGCAGUGGGGAAUUUUGGACAAUGGGCGCAAGCCUGAUCCAGCAAUGCCGCGUGAGUGAAGAAGGCCUUCGGGUUGUAAAGCUCUUUUGUCAGGGAAGAAACGGUUCGGAUUAAUACCUUGGGCUAAUGACGGUACCUGAAGAAUAAGCACCGGCUAACUACGUGCCAGCAGCCGCGGUAAUACGUAGGGUGCAAGCGUUAAUCGGAAUUACUGGGCGUAAAGCGUGCGCAGGCGGUUUUGUAAGUCUGUCGUGAAAGCCCCGGGCUCAACCUGGGAAUUGCGAUGGAGACUGCAAGGCUUGAAUCUGGCAGAGGGGGGUAGAAUUCCACGUGUAGCAGUGAAAUGCGUAGAGAUGUGGAGGAACACCGAUGGCGAAGGCAGCCCCCUGGGUCAAGAUUGACGCUCAUGCACGAAAGCGUGGGGAGCAAACAGGAUUAGAUACCCUGGUAGUCCACGCCCUAAACGAUGUCUACUAGUUGUCGGGUUUUAAUUAACUUGGUAACGCAGCUAACGCGUGAAGUAGACCGCCUGGGGAGUACGGUCGCAAGAUUAAAACUCAAAGGAAUUGACGGGGACCCGCACAAGCGGUGGAUGAUGUGGAUUAAUUCGAUGCAACGCGAAAAACCUUACCUACCCUUGACAUGGAAGGAAUCCUGAAGAGAUUUGGGAGUGCCCGAAAGGGAACCUUUACACAGGUGCUGCAUGGCUGUCGUCAGCUCGUGUCGUGAGAUGUUGGGUUAAGUCCCGCAACGAGCGCAACCCUUGUCAUUAGUUGCUACAUUUAGUUGAGCACUCUAAUGAGACUGCCGGUGACAAACCGGAGGAAGGUGGGGAUGACGUCAAGUCCUCAUGGCCCUUAUGGGUAGGGCUUCACACGUCAUACAAUGGUACAUACAGAGGGCCGCCAACCCGCGAGGGGGAGCUAAUCCCAGAAAGUGUAUCGUAGUCCGGAUUGUAGUCUGCAACUCGACUACAUGAAGUUGGAAUCGCUAGUAAUCGCGGAUCAGCAUGUCGCGGUGAAUACGUUCCCGGGUCUUGUACACACCGCCCGUCACACCAUGGGAGCGGGUUUUACCAGAAGUAGGUAGCUUAACCGCAAGGGGGGCGCUCCAGAUAGAUUUC
This 1426-nucleotide ribosomal RNA is filed under the name Massilia yuzhufengensis. RNAcentral's name for it is "bacterial SSU rRNA". It matches the Rfam family "Bacterial small subunit ribosomal RNA". The record is from RNAcentral. Lineage: Bacteria; Pseudomonadati; Pseudomonadota; Betaproteobacteria; Burkholderiales; Oxalobacteraceae.